Molecule: long non-coding RNA, 574 nt
Organism: Planococcus citri (citrus mealybug)
Lineage: Eukaryota; Metazoa; Arthropoda; Insecta; Hemiptera; Pseudococcidae
Exons: 3
Source: RefSeq, a predicted model, not a curated record
CUUUUUCAUCGUAUAUAUCAUUCAACAAACGACACCGUAAAUUACGACUUUGUUUUUCACAUUCAAAUUUAUUAUUAUAGGAAUGAUUUUGACGCAAAACUGAAAUCACAAAAUCACUAUAAAUGCGAACGUAUUCAUAGAAAAGGAAUAAACAUUGUUCUGAAGUUUAGUUGUAUAAUCAUCAAAGAAUUGAUUGAUUUUGAUGUAAGUACGUACGACGUAGGUACAUAUAACUAGUAGUGCCUAUCUAUACAUAAACGUAAUUAUGUACAUAUCAAGAAGCAUUACCUGCGUAUUCAAAUCGUGAUAAUUUUUCUAAAACUACCUAGUUUUUGAAGACCUUUUAUAAAAUACAAUGCUGGCUAUUAUUAAAAAUUAUAUCUUCAUUUUAUUGGUUACAGUACUGCUAGUUUGCACCGUUAAAUACACUGUUGUUGCUGCUCCAUCAGACCCAGACGGAGGUGCUGGGAAUGCGGACAGCGACGUAGAUUCCGAUAGUGGUUGGUUUGCCAACGGCUAAUGGAUAGGAAAAAUCAAAAUGAUUUUUUUCAUAUAAGUAAAUUAACAGGCCCAU